GAAAUAAGAAAUUCAAAAUUAAGCUUCUAACUUAUAUUUUUAGUGGUGUAAUUCCAUUAUUAUUUCU
This 67-nucleotide transfer RNA is filed under the name Ochthebius lividipennis. RNAcentral describes it as "tRNA-Ser". Lineage: Eukaryota; Metazoa; Arthropoda; Insecta; Coleoptera; Hydraenidae. The record is from RNAcentral.